UUAGUAUGGUCAAAAUUGGGAUUUUCGAUGAACAUACCACACCCAUCAAGUAUCAAAAAUUCAAAGUGCAUUUUCAACCGGAACUAGUGAAAUCUAUCUUUGAAUCACUUCUUUUCAAUAAAAAUACGAAAAGUUUGAAAAUACCCCCCCCCCCCUCAGUGCAAGCUCUAGCGAUCGUAAUCGGGGGGGGGGGGUGUCGAUUUAACGUAUCCUAGCCCCCUUCCCCUCCUCAGGGAACUUCCCUAGAGAAUUGUUAAAAUGUAGAUCCUCGCGAACCUCAAUUUAGUCUAUUUUUAGGAUGAAAUCUGAUGGAACGUCUUGAAAAACAAUGGUUUUAUUUCAUUCUCUCCUACUUAUGAUCAUUUGCCACUUAUUUGAGGUAUAUCCAGUCGUUACUCCACAGCGUUUAGAAUUUUUUGAGUUAUUUAAAUUUCUCAAAAAAACAUCUCUUUGCGUUUAAAACACAGCAAUCGCAACCGCGACGGGAGGAGGGAAGAGGGAACAGGACGGCGCAUCGGAGGCUAAAAGCAGCGAAGCGCUCGGACUCGGCUCGGAACGUACCGCUCUCCCCGCCCGCCAUGAUUCCGCCGCCCGCCGAGCAGCUAACAACCGAUCCUCCAGGAGAGCACGAGAAUUAUUUCUUCAAUUCGAGACGAAGAUUUAAGCCCAGGGCCAACGAAAAUCAAGAAGAAGCCAUGGGAAGUGCACAGAAACCGAAGUACCGAGUGGAUCUUCACAGAAGGAACUGUUGGAAGAUGGCUUGGAACAUGCGGUCAUGCUGUGCACGUGGCGAUGUUGCUCUUGAGACAUCCUGCAACCGAAUUCCAAUGAGCAGCCGAACCGGGUGGAAAUCUAUGAAAAGACUGUUGAAGUAUUAG
Molecule: long non-coding RNA, 878 nt
Filed under: Bemisia tabaci
Lineage: Eukaryota; Metazoa; Arthropoda; Insecta; Hemiptera; Aleyrodidae
Description: lncRNA ENSASIAIIG008666
Source: RNAcentral